Molecule: ribosomal RNA, 144 nt
Filed under: Hexamita inflata
Lineage: Eukaryota; Fornicata; Diplomonadida; Hexamitidae
Description: 5.8S ribosomal RNA
Source: RNAcentral
AUCUAACGGAUAAUAGUGGAUCACUAGGCUUGGACAUCGACGAAGAGCGUAGAACAGAGCGAAAUUUGUGGCGACGAGCCUCAGCCCUAUGCGAGUUGUCAAUUCUCGAAUACCUCAGGCCGCGAGGCCGCGCACCGUACAGAG